GACGAACGCUGGCGGCGUGCCUAAUACAUGCAAGUAGAACGCUGAAGGAGGAGCUUGCUUCUCUGGAUGAGUUGCGAACGGGUGAGUAACGCGUAGGUAACCUGCCUGGUAGCGGGGGAUAACUAUUGGAAACGAUAGCUAAUACCGCAUAAUAGUAGAUGUUGCAUGACAUUUGCUUAAAAGGUGCAAUUGCAUCACUACCAGAUGGACCUGCGUUGUAUUAGCUAGUUGGUGGGGUAACGGCUCACCAAGGCGACGAUACAUAGCCGACCUGAGAGGGGGCUCGGCCACACUGGGACUGGGACACGGCCCAGACUCCUACGGGAGGCAGCAGUAGGGAAUCUUCGGCAAUGGACGGAAGUCUGACCGAGCAACGCCGCGUGAGUGAAGAAGGUUUUCGGAUCGUAAAGCUCUGUUGUAAGAGAAGAACGAGUGUGAGAGUGGAAAGUUCACACUGUGACGGUAUCUUACCAGAAAGGGACGGCUAACUACGUG
Molecule: ribosomal RNA, 495 nt
Filed under: uncultured bacterium
Lineage: Bacteria
Description: partial 16S ribosomal RNA
Rfam family: Bacterial small subunit ribosomal RNA
Source: RNAcentral